RNAcentral lists this ribosomal RNA (253 nucleotides) under uncultured bacterium. RNAcentral's name for it is "partial 16S ribosomal RNA". It matches the Rfam family "Bacterial small subunit ribosomal RNA", at positions 524 to 776 of the family's 1533-position model. The record is from RNAcentral.
GACAGAGGGUGCAAACGUUGUCCGGAUUUAUUGGGCGUAAAGAGCUCGUAGGCGGCUUGUCGCGUCGUCCGUGAAAACCCACAGCUCAACUGUGGGCUUGCGGUCGAUACGGGCAGGCUAGAGUUCGGUAGGGGAGACUGGAAUUCCUGGUGUAGCGGUGGAAUGCGCAGAUAUCAGGAGGAACACCGGUGGCGAAGGCGGGUCUCUGGGCAGUAACUGACGCUGAGGAGCGAAAGCGUGGGGAGCGAACAGG